RNAcentral lists this transfer RNA (69 nucleotides) under Cnephaeus bottae (Botta's serotine). RNAcentral describes it as "tRNA-Thr". Lineage: Eukaryota; Metazoa; Chordata; Mammalia; Chiroptera; Vespertilionidae. The record is from RNAcentral.
GUCUGCGUAGUAUACUAAUUACACUGGUCUUGUAAACCAGAAAAGGAAAAAUAAAUUCUCCCGUAGACU